This 1538-nucleotide long non-coding RNA is filed under the name Sus scrofa (pig). RNAcentral's name for it is "lncRNA (ENSSSCG00025064759.1)". The record is from RNAcentral. Lineage: Eukaryota; Metazoa; Chordata; Mammalia; Artiodactyla; Suidae.
AAUAAUGUGUGCCACGCACAUGGCUUGCUUGAAGCCACGGCUCAGCCCGCCGGCAACUUGCGGUCCGUAGUCCAGUGCGGACACGAGGCGGUGAGCCGUGUCCAUCCCGGAUCCGAGGGCCUCCGCCAGAUCAAGUCCCUUAACCUCGUGCCGAGCCCGGGAAAGCGAAGAGGAAAUUUACGGACUCUAGGACCCCAAGGUACCUGCCAGGAGGGACUCCGCCAGAUCACGUCCCAUAACCUCGUGCCGAGCCCGGGAAAGCGAAGAGGAAAUUUACGGACUCUGGGACCCCAAGGCAGGUCUGAUUCUGGUGCACAUCAUGUCCAGUUUUGAAGAUGCUGACACAGAAGAGACAUUAACUUGUCUCCAGAUGACUGUUUACCAUCCAGGCCACCAGCAAAAUGGAAUAUUCCAAUCAAGAAGGUUUUUUAGCCGAGAGAAACUCCCUUCCAGCGAAGUGGUAAAAUUUGGCCGAAAUUCCAUCUGUCAGUAUACCUUUCAGGACAAACAUGCUUCUCGAGUUCAGUUUUCUCUGCACCUAUUUAAAAAGUUUGAUAGCUCAGUUCUCUCUUUUGAGAUUAAAAAUAUGAGUAAGAAGACCAGUCUGAUUGUGGACAACCAGGAAUUGGGCUACCUAAAUAAAAUGGACCUGCCCCCUAAGUGCAUGGUUAGGUUUGGUGACUAUCAGUUCCUGAUAGAGAAGGAAGAUGGAGAGUCAUUAGAAUUCUUUGAGAUUCAGUUUAUUUUAUCUACAAGAUCGCUCUUGCAAGAAAACAACUGGCUACCACAGAAGCCCAUACCUGAGUGUGGCAACUAUUUAUCCUGUUCCACCCAAGGCAAUUCUCCUAUAGAAAUGGGUGAAAAUGAAUGGUGACCACAGAGGGCUAAGAGAAUCAUGAAGGACCAACUCUGUAGACACUCUACAGACAAUCCACUUAUUAAAAGAGUUUCUGAGUGCGGUAUAUUACUGUCAUUUGCUGUGUUGCCAACUUUGAGAUCUGGUGUUAUGUGAAGUCUGUAAAUUGCGUUAGUCAUUGAUUUAGUCACCUGCUGCAUUGCUGGAUAUAUGAAGAAAUUACUAUAAUUGUGUAUCUGUGAGCAUUAAUGUAUGAAAAGCAACCUUCAUGAUGAAGGAAUAGUGUUCUCAAAAUAAGGUUAUUUUCUUUUUAUGCCCAAUUUUGGUCCCAUGUUUUAUACUGCUUCACUUUGAUUUAUAAGUUACCAUCUCUUGGUUUGGUCAUAUUAUUUCACAGCAGCCAUUUGUUCCUAGGUCAAGGUUACAAGCAUGUUAUUACAGGUGAGGUAACUUGUUGUUACUUGUCAUACCAGAGUACUGGAACAAAAAGCAUAAUGUGUUUUGGUGUCUGUGUGUCAUUGUGGUUUUAUAGUAAGACUUCUUUGUGCAAUAAUACCUUAAUUUUUGUUUUUUUCUCUAUAGAAUUAGUGUUUAUUCCCAAGAAUAGUUUUCCUUUUCUAUAUUCAGCAUCUAAAACCAAUACUUUAAACAUUGUUAAUAAACUAUGAUGUUAAAUUUAAAA